AUUGAACGCUGGCGGCAGGCCUAACACAUGCAAGUCGAGCGGAUGAAGGGAGCUUGCUUCCUGAUUCAGCGGCGGACGGGUGAGUAAUGCCUAGGAAUCUGCCUGAUAGUGGGGGACAACGUUUCGAAAGGAACGCUAAUACCGCAUACGUCCUACGGGAGAAAGCAGGGGACCUUCGGGCCUUGCGCUAUCAGAUGAGCCUAGGUCGGAUUAGCUAGUAGGUGAGGUAAUGGCUCACCUAGGCGACGAUCCGUAACUGGUCUGAGAGGAUGAUCAGUCACACUGGAACUGAGACACGGUCCAGACUCCUACGGGAGGCAGCAGUGGGGAAUAUUGGACAAUGGGCGAAAGCCUGAUCCAGCCAUGCCGCGUGUGUGAAGAAGGUCUUCGGAUUGUAAAGCACUUUAAGUUGGGAGGAAGGGCAGUAAGUUAAUACCUUGCUGUUUUGACGUUACCAACAGAAUAAGCACCGGCUAACUUCGUGCCAGCCGCCGCCGUAACAC
RNAcentral lists this ribosomal RNA (503 nucleotides) under uncultured bacterium. Its description in RNAcentral is "bacterial SSU rRNA". It matches the Rfam family "Bacterial small subunit ribosomal RNA", at positions 30 to 526 of the family's 1533-position model. The record is from RNAcentral.